Molecule: ribosomal RNA, 464 nt
Filed under: uncultured bacterium
Lineage: Bacteria
Description: partial 16S ribosomal RNA
Rfam family: Bacterial small subunit ribosomal RNA
Source: RNAcentral
GAUGAACGCUGACAGAAUGCUUAACACAUGCAAGUCUUUGGCGAAGCUGUGCUUGCACAGCCUAGCCAAGGCGGACGGGUGAGUAACGCGUAAGGAACUUGCCCUGCAGUCAGGGAUAACAGACGGAAACGACUGAUAAGACCUGGUAAAGUCAGGCGGACUCAUGUCCAGCCUGAUGAAAAGAGAUGCUGCAGGAGAGCCUUGCGUCCUAUUAGCUUGUUGGUGGGGUAACGGCCCACCAAGGCGAUGAUAGGUAGCCGGCCUGAGAGGGUGGACGGCCACAAGGGGACUGAGAUACGGCCCUUACUCCUACGGGAGGCAGCAGUGGGGAAUAUUGGACAAUGGGGGCAACCCUGAUCCAGCAAUUCUGUGUGCACGAUGAAGGUUUUCGGAUUGUAAAGUGCUUUCAGCAGGGAAGAAAAAAAUGACGGUACCUGCAGAAGAAGCGACGGCUAAAUACGUGC